This 496-nucleotide ribosomal RNA is filed under the name uncultured bacterium. RNAcentral describes it as "partial 16S ribosomal RNA". It matches the Rfam family "Bacterial small subunit ribosomal RNA", at positions 29 to 507 of the family's 1533-position model. The record is from RNAcentral.
AUGAACGCUGGCGGCGUGCCUAAUACAUGCAAGUCGCGCGAACGGACGAGAAGCUUGCUUCUCUGAUGUUAGCGGCGGACGGGUGAGUAACACGUGGAUAACCUACCUAUAAGACUGGGAUAACUUCGGGAAACCGUAGCUAAUACCGGAUAAUAUUUUGAACCGCAUGGUUCAAAAGUGAAAGACGGUCUUGCUGUCACUUAUAGAUGGAUCCGCGCUGCAUUAGCUAGUUGGUAAGGUAACGGCUUACCAAGGCAACGAUGCAUAGCCGACCUGAGAGGGUGAUCGGCCACACUGGAACUGAGACACGGUCCAGACUCCUACGGGAGGCAGCAGUAGGGAAUCUUCCGCAAUGGGCGAAAGCCUGACGGAGCAACGCCGCGUGAGUGAUGAAGGUCUUCGGAUCGUAAAACUCUGUUAUUAGGGAAGAACAUAUGCGUAAGUAACUGUGCACAUCUUGACGGUACCUAAUCAGAAAGCCACGGCUAACUACGUG